AGGUGCGAUCAUACCAGCACUAAUGCAUAGGAUCCCAUCAAAACUCCGUAGUGAAGCAUGCUUGGGUAAGAGUAGUACUAGGAUGGGUGACAUCUUGGGAAGUCCUCAUGUUGCACCGC
RNAcentral lists this ribosomal RNA (119 nucleotides) under Vitis vinifera (wine grape). The record is from RNAcentral. Lineage: Eukaryota; Viridiplantae; Streptophyta; Magnoliopsida; Vitales; Vitaceae.